UACGGGGGGGGCAAGCGUUGUUCGGAAUUACUGGGCGUAAAGGGCUCGUAGGUGGCCAACUAAGUCAGACGUGAAAUCCCUCGGCUUAACCGGGGAACUGCAUCUGAUACUGGAUGGCUUGAAUCCGGGAGAGGGAUGCGGAAUUCCAGGUGUAGCGGUGAAAUGCGUAGAUAUCUGGAGGAACACCGGUGGCGAAGGCGGCAUCCUGGACCGGCAUUGACGCUGAGGAGCGAAAGCCAGGGGAGCAAACGGG
RNAcentral lists this ribosomal RNA (253 nucleotides) under uncultured bacterium. RNAcentral's name for it is "partial 16S ribosomal RNA". It matches the Rfam family "Bacterial small subunit ribosomal RNA", at positions 524 to 776 of the family's 1533-position model. The record is from RNAcentral.